Molecule: transfer RNA, 71 nt
Organism: Rhizopogon vinicolor AM-OR11-026
Lineage: Eukaryota; Fungi; Basidiomycota; Agaricomycetes; Boletales; Rhizopogonaceae
Rfam family: tRNA
About the family: Transfer RNA (tRNA) molecules are approximately 80 nucleotides in length.
Source: Rfam
GAUCUUUUAGUAUAAAGGUAGUACUACUAUCCUUCAAAUAGUGAGUAUCAGUUCAAUUCUGAUAAAGAUCA